Molecule: long non-coding RNA, 210 nt
Filed under: Sorghum bicolor (sorghum)
Lineage: Eukaryota; Viridiplantae; Streptophyta; Magnoliopsida; Poales; Poaceae
Description: long non-coding RNA (SBIC_LNC002221)
Source: RNAcentral
UGUUCCUUACCAUAGACGCGUCUAGGCAACAGACCCAUCUGUAGUAAGAAAAAUACUUCAGACAUUUUUCAUGCCUACAGGUCUGUAGUCUGUAGCCUACAGGACAGCACUCAUAUACACAGAGAAUCACAAAUAUAUAUAUACACUGAUAUCAUAGAAAUAAUAUACGUAUACAAGAUCGAUCACAACUAUUCAUCACACACAUUACAC